Molecule: transfer RNA, 110 nt
Filed under: Malassezia globosa
Lineage: Eukaryota; Fungi; Basidiomycota; Malasseziomycetes; Malasseziales; Malasseziaceae
Also listed under: 1 other name
Description: tRNA-Leu
Rfam family: tRNA
About the family: Transfer RNA (tRNA) molecules are approximately 80 nucleotides in length. Their secondary structure includes four short double-helical elements and three loops (D, anti-codon, and T loops).
Source: RNAcentral
GGUAGGAUGGCCGAGUGGUCUAAGGCGGUAGAUUCAAGUUACUUUGAAUUUCUUCAGCGGUGAUCGCUGGUGAUCCCUACUUAUCCUGGGUUCGAAUCCCAGUUCUACCA